This 449-nucleotide ribosomal RNA is filed under the name uncultured bacterium. RNAcentral describes it as "partial 16S ribosomal RNA". It matches the Rfam family "Bacterial small subunit ribosomal RNA", at positions 29 to 523 of the family's 1533-position model. The record is from RNAcentral.
AACGAACGCUGGCGGCAGGCCUAACACAUGCAAGUCGAACGCCCUAGCAAUAGGGAGUGGCAGACGGGUGAGUAACGCGUGGGAACGUACCCUUCGGUUCGGAAUAAGCCGGGGAAACCUGGUCUAAUACCGGAUACGUGCGAGAGCAGAAAGAUUUAUCGCCGAAGGAUCGGCCCGCGUCCGAUUAGCUAGUUGGUGAGGUAAUGGCUCACCAAGGCGACGAUCGGUAGCUGGUCUGAGAGGAUGAGCAGCCACACUGGGACUGAGACACGGCCCGGACUCGUACGGGGGGCAGCAGUGGGGAAUAUUGGACAAUGGGCGCAAGCCGGAGCCAGCCAUGCCGCGUGAGUGAUGAAGGCCCUAGGGUUGUAAAGCUCUUUCGCCAGGGACGAUAAUGACGGUACCUGGAUAAGAAGCCCCGGCUAACUUCGUGCCAGCAGCCGCCGUAA